Molecule: ribosomal RNA, 421 nt
Filed under: uncultured eukaryote
Lineage: Eukaryota
Description: SSU rRNA
Rfam family: Eukaryotic small subunit ribosomal RNA
Source: RNAcentral
CAAUAGCGUAUAUUAAAGUUGUUGCGGUUAAAAGCUCGUAGUUGGAUUUCUGUUGAGAACAGCCGGUCCGCAUUUUGUGCGUGCAUCUGGUUUGAACUCGGCAUCCUUUCCAGGAACGUAUCUGCGAUUCAGUUCGUGGUGCGGUACUGGAAACUUUUACUUUGAGGAAAUUAGAGUGUUCACGGCAGGCAAUCGCCUUGAAUAUAUUAGCAUGGAAUAAUAAUAUAGGAUCUUGGGUCUAUUUUGUUGGUUUCUAGAGCUAAGAUAAUGAUUAAUAGGGACAAUUGGGGGCAUUCGUAUUAACACGUCAGAGGUGGAAUUCUUAGAUUGUGUUACGACGAACUACUGCGAAAGCAUUUGCCAAGGAUGUUUUCAUUGAUCAAGAACGAAAGUGAGGGGAUCGAAGAUGAUUAGAUACCAU